This 660-nucleotide ribosomal RNA is filed under the name uncultured bacterium. RNAcentral describes it as "bacterial SSU rRNA". It matches the Rfam family "Bacterial small subunit ribosomal RNA", at positions 94 to 788 of the family's 1533-position model. The record is from RNAcentral.
AGUGGCGGACGGGUGAGUAACGCGUGAGAAUCUGCCUUGGGGUCGGGGACAACCACUGGAAACGGUGGCUAAUACCGGAUACGCCUUCGGGUAAAAGAUUUAUUGCCCUAAGAGGAGCUCGCGUCUGAUUAGCUAGUUGGUGAGGUAAGAGCUCACCAAGGCAGCGAUCAGUAGCUGGUCUGAGAGGACGAUCAGCCACACUGGGACUGAGACACGGCCCAGACUCCUACGGGAGGCAGCAGUGGGGAAUUUUCCGCAAUGGGCGAAAGCCUGACGGAGCAAGACCGCGUGAGGGAGGAAGGCUCUUUGGUUGUAAACCUCUUUUCUCAGGGAAGAAGCUCUGACGGUACCUGAGGAAUCAGCCUCGGCUAACUCCGUGCCAGCAGCCGCGGUAAUACGGAGGAGGCAAGCGUUAUCCGGAAUUAUUGGGCGUAAAGCGUCCGCAGGUGGCGAUUCAAGUCUGCUGUCAAAGCACGGGGCUUAACUCCGUAAAGGCAGUGGAAACUGAAUAGCUAGAGUGCCGUAGGGGUAGAGGGAAUUCCCGGUGUAGCGGUGAAAUGCGUAGAGAUCGGGAAGAACAUCGGUGGCGAAAGCGCUCUACUGGACGGCAACUGACACUCAGGGACGAAAGCUAGGGGAGCGAAUGGGAUUAGAUACCCC